AUCAACCAUAUGACGAUGUAUCUCAUGAACAAAACGCACCCACUGUACUGCCAGACAAUACAUAUGAGGUAGCACAGAAAAAACCAGAAAGACCACCAAAACCAAUGGCGAAAGCUGUACCAAACGAUGGAAUAGUAUAUGCUGACUUGGAUGAACUAGAUUUAAAGAAGCCAGCCAAACCAGGUAUCCAGCCAAAACCAAAGCCACCACCACCACCACAAGAAGAUGAUGUUCAAUAUGCUGCAGUGGAUUUUGCAAUGACAGAGAGACUACGAAAAUCCUAGAUACUGAUACUGGAUGAUUGGUUGACCUUUGACUGCACAAAUUGUUACAAAGUCAACGAUGCAGUUUGAUGAAUCUAUGCUUCUGUGUUUCAUUCACAACGCCAUACAAGAAGUAUAUAAAAUGCUUUUCAUACCAAAUAUUUGCUGUAAUUAGCCAGGUUUCAUUCCAUGCAGUAUAUUCAAUCAAUAUUUGUCAAUCUUCAGCAAUGUAGCCCUAUUUAGAAGCAGAUUUCUGCAAUUUCUGUCAGACCUUGUAAUACUAGGCUUUGAUAUGUAGUGUUUUGACUAUAAAGAAUAGAAGGGAGCAAAGCAUUUAAUCUUUUUUUUUAGGUUUACAGAAAGAGCUAUCUAAUCAGCAUGGUAUUUGACGCCUGUUUCUUUUUUCAGGGAGUACAAAUGUAUGGAAUGAAAGUGUAUUCCAGAAAAAUGUUAAUAUCUUUUAUAAAAAAUUUUAAUAAUCAGACCAUAAAAGAAAAUUUGUACCCAUAAGCAAGAUUCACAUCAAUAACAAUUUACUUUUUUUCAACCUUUCAAUAAUUUUCAAUACUUUUGCAGAAACAAAAAAGAACAUUUUUCCAUUUAUCACUAUUAUCUGGGCCGGUGCUAAACUGAAGUUUCUGGACCAGUAAGGGAUGCAGUCUGAUAAGAAUGACACGAGUUACUGCACCUUUGAUAUGAUAUUCAAACAGUUUUUUAAUUACAUUUUUUUA
Molecule: long non-coding RNA, 994 nt
Organism: Saccoglossus kowalevskii
Lineage: Eukaryota; Metazoa; Hemichordata; Enteropneusta; Harrimaniidae
Source: RefSeq, a predicted model, not a curated record